Molecule: ribosomal RNA, 440 nt
Filed under: uncultured bacterium
Lineage: Bacteria
Description: partial 16S ribosomal RNA
Rfam family: Bacterial small subunit ribosomal RNA
Source: RNAcentral
CCUACGGGAGGCAGCAGUGGGGGAUAUUGCACAAUGGGGGGAACCCUGAUGCAGCGACGCCGCGUGGGUGAAGAAGCGCCUCGGCGCGUAAAGCCCUGUCAGCAGGGAAGAAAAUGACGGUACCUGAAGAAGAAGCCCCGGCUAACUACGUGCCAGCAGCCGCGGUAAUACGUGGGGGGCAAGCGUUAUCCGGAUUUACUGGGUGGAAAGGGGGCGCAGACGGCGAUGCAAGCCAGGAGUGAAAGCCCGGGGCCCAACCCCGGGACUGCUCUUGGAACUGCGUGGCUGGAGUGCAGGAGGGGCAGGCGGAAUUCCUGGUGUAGCGGUGAAAUGCGUAGAUAUCAGGAGGAACACCGGUGGCGAAGGCGGCCUGCUGGACUGCAACUGACGUUGAGGCCCGAAAGCGUGGGGAGCAAACAGGAUUAGAUACCCCAGUAGUC